This 421-nucleotide ribosomal RNA is filed under the name uncultured bacterium. Its description in RNAcentral is "bacterial SSU rRNA". It matches the Rfam family "Bacterial small subunit ribosomal RNA", at positions 358 to 796 of the family's 1533-position model. The record is from RNAcentral.
GGAAUAUUGCACAAUGGGCGCAAGCCUGAUGCAGCCAUGCCGCGUGAGUGAUGAAGGCCUUAGGGUUGUAAAGCUCUUUCACCGAUGAAGAUAAUGACGGUAAUCGGAGAAGAAGCCCCGGCUAACUUCGUGCCAGCAGCCGCGGUAAUACGAAGGGGGCAAGCGUUGUUCGGAAUUACUGGGCGUAAAGCGCGCGUAGGCGGGUCAUUAAGUCAGGGGUGAAAUCCCGGAGCUCAACUCCGGAACUGCCUUUGAUACUGGUGACCUAGAGUCCGGGAGAGGUGAGUGGAACUCCUAGUGUAGAGGUGAAAUUCGUAGAUAUUAGGAAGAACACCAGUGGCGAAGGCGGCUCACUGGCCCGGAACUGACGCUGAGGCGCGAAAGCGUGGGGAGCAAACAGGAUUAGAUACCCGGGUAGUCC